GGGGGAUAUUGCACAAUGGAGGAAACUCUGAUGCAGCGACGCCGCGUGAGGGAAGAAGGUCUUCGGAUUGUAAACCUCUGUCUUUGGGGACGAAUAAAAUGACGGUACCCAAGGAGGAAGCCACGGCUAACUACGUGCCAGCAGCCGCGGUAAUACGUAGGUGGCAAGCGUUGUCCGGAUUUACUGGGUGUAAAGGGUGCGUAGGCGGGUUAUCAAGUUGGAUGUGAAAUCUCCGUGCUUAACGCGGAGGCUGCAUUCAAAACUGGUAAUCUUGAGUGAGGUAGAGGCAGGCGGAAUUCCCCGUGUAGCGGUGAAAUGCGUAGAGAUCGGGAGGAACACCAGUGGCGAAGGCGGCCUGCUGGGCCUUAACUGACGCUGAUGCAUGAAAGCAUGGGGAGCAAAC
This 403-nucleotide ribosomal RNA is filed under the name uncultured bacterium. Its description in RNAcentral is "bacterial SSU rRNA". It matches the Rfam family "Bacterial small subunit ribosomal RNA", at positions 356 to 773 of the family's 1533-position model. The record is from RNAcentral.